This is a non-coding RNA of Schistosoma mansoni, 45 nucleotides long. The record is from Rfam. NCBI's taxonomy places the organism in Eukaryota, Metazoa, Platyhelminthes, Trematoda, Strigeidida, Schistosomatidae.
AUCCAGCUGACGAAUCCAAAAUGGGACGAAACGCGCGUCCUGGAU